CACGUAGGGGGCAAGCGUUGUCCGGAUUUAUUGGGCGUAAAGAGCUCGUAGGCGGCUCAGUAAGUCAGGUGUGAAACCCCGGGGCUCAACCCGGGGACGCCACCUGAUACUGCUGUGGCUAGAGUCCGGUAGGGGAGCGUGGAAUUCCUGGUGUAGCGGUGAAAUGCGCAGAUAUCAGGAGGAACACCGAUGGCGAAGGCAGGUCUCUGGGCCGAUACUGACGCUGAGGAGCGAAAGCGUGGGGAGCGAACAGG
Molecule: ribosomal RNA, 254 nt
Filed under: uncultured bacterium
Lineage: Bacteria
Description: partial 16S ribosomal RNA
Rfam family: Bacterial small subunit ribosomal RNA
Source: RNAcentral